GACGUAGGGUGCGAGCGUUGUCCGGAUUUAUUGGGCGUAAAGAGCUCGUAGGCGGCUCGUCGCGUCAGCUGUGAAAACCCGCAGCUUAACUGUGGGCUUGCAGCUGAUACGGGCGGGCUGGAGUUCGGUAGGGGAGACUGGAAUUCCUGGUGUAGCGGUGAAAUGCGCAGAUAUCAGGAGGAACACCGGUGGCGAAGGCGGGUCUCUGGGCCGAUACUGACACUGAGGCGCGAAAGCUAGGGGAGCAAACAGG
Molecule: ribosomal RNA, 253 nt
Filed under: uncultured bacterium
Lineage: Bacteria
Description: partial 16S ribosomal RNA
Rfam family: Bacterial small subunit ribosomal RNA
Source: RNAcentral